UACAGAGGUCUCGAGCGUUGUUCGGAUUCAUUGGGCGUAAAGGGUGCGUAGGUGGCGCUGUAAGUCAGGUGUGAAAUUUCGGAGCUUAACUCCGAAACUGCAUUUGAUACUGCGGUGCUUGAGGACUGGAGAGGAGACUGGAAUUUACGGUGUAGCAGUGAAAUGCGUAGAGAUCGUAAGGAAGACCAGUGGCGAAGGCGGGUCUCUGGACAGUUCCUGACACUGAGGCACGAAGGCCAGGGGAGCAUACGGG
Molecule: ribosomal RNA, 253 nt
Filed under: uncultured bacterium
Lineage: Bacteria
Description: partial 16S ribosomal RNA
Rfam family: Bacterial small subunit ribosomal RNA
Source: RNAcentral